AUGUUGCCAAUGCAGUUGUGCUUGUUGCAGCGCACCCCUGCACAUGAUCGAGUUGUCGUGGUUGUAGAUCUGCACCUUGAGGCCAAGCCCGAAGAUUCACAAGACGAGGAGGUCGCCGGGGACGAUCCUGUGGCGGCGGCAGAAGUACUGCCAGCCUCGGUUAAGGACCAUCUGACCCAAGAAGUUCUGGACCUGAACCCAGAACUCGCACCACUUGUUGGCCGACAGUGUAACGACGCGCGGGGCCUUGAUCACCAGCCGCUGCUUCAUCACCUCCGUGAACUUGGGCGGGAUGAUGAGCAUGGUGAGAUCCUCCAUGUCCUUGAUCUGAACGUAGAAACACAACGGCUCUCAUGCCCCCUCUUCGUGGCUGGUGCUCAGAGACCGUCCCCGUGA
This 396-nucleotide ribosomal RNA is filed under the name Triticum aestivum (bread wheat). Its description in RNAcentral is "partial small subunit ribosomal RNA". Lineage: Eukaryota; Viridiplantae; Streptophyta; Magnoliopsida; Poales; Poaceae. The record is from RNAcentral.